GGAGAGGUGGCAGAGUGGUCGAAUGCACCGGAUUCGAAAUCCGGCGUACAGUUCAUACUGUACCGAGGGUUCGAAUCCCUCCUUCUCCGCCA
This 92-nucleotide transfer RNA is filed under the name Comamonadaceae bacterium. Its description in RNAcentral is "tRNA-Ser". It matches the Rfam family "tRNA". From Rfam's summary of the family: Transfer RNA (tRNA) molecules are approximately 80 nucleotides in length. Their secondary structure includes four short double-helical elements and three loops (D, anti-codon, and T loops). The record is from RNAcentral. RNAcentral also lists the same sequence under 1 other name. Lineage: Bacteria; Pseudomonadati; Pseudomonadota; Betaproteobacteria; Burkholderiales; Comamonadaceae.